Molecule: long non-coding RNA, 1389 nt
Organism: Cyprinus carpio (common carp)
Lineage: Eukaryota; Metazoa; Chordata; Actinopteri; Cypriniformes; Cyprinidae
Source: Ensembl
AUGAGGUGUUUAGUAGGAAGUGAAUGGGGGGCUGAUAGGAAGGCAUUAAAAGCCAUAUAUAGUGGGCUGAUUAGAUCUGUAUUUGAUUAUGGUUGUGUGGUGUAUGGAUCAGCAGCAGAUACAUCACUUAGAAAGUUGUUAUGUACAGGAGCUAUAAAAACUACACCAAUCGUAGCACUACAGGUAGAAUUGGGGGAAAUGUCUUUAGAAAUGAGAAGGAUACAGUUAUCACUGAGUUAUUGGGCUAAUUUACAAGGCCACAGUCAAGAGCAUCCUACACAAGACACUUUAAAGCCCUGUUGGGAAAAAGAGAGGAGAAAAACUAAAAGUUUCGGAUGGACAGUAUUACAGAAAGCAAUAGAAUUCAAAGUUAAUCAAUUAAUAGUUAGUCCAACUAUUGCGCUACCAGUAAUAAAACCAUGGUUACUCUCAGAUGCUACAGUAGAUUUUACAUUGUUAGAAAAGAAAAACAGGGACAAAGAAUGGAGUUCAUGUAAUGUGCAGAAAUAUAUUAAUGAUUACCACAGCUAUGUUCAGAUAUAUACAGACGCAUCAAAGAAUAUAGACAAUAGGAUAGGAGUCGCUUUUAUUGUUCCAGAGUUUCAGUUAGCAAUAAGGAAAAGGAUUAGUGAUGAGUUAUCGGUUUAUACAGGGGAAAUGAUUGCAAUAUUAUUAGCAAUACAGUGGAUAGAGGAGAUAAGACCUUUAAAAUCAGUUGUUUGUUCGGACUCAAGUUCGUCAUUGGCUAGCAUACAGUACAGUCAUUCGGAAAGUAGACCAGAUAUUUUAAUAGAAAUACAGCAAACAUUAUACAGAAUACAAAUGAUGGGACUUACAGUGAAUUUUUUAUGGGUACCUGCACAUAUUGGUAUCCAAGGAAAUGAAAUGGCAGAUAAGGCAGCAAAGGAAGCCAUUAAAAAUAAUGGAAUUAACUUAAGUGUUAGUAUAAGUAAGAAUGAAAUCAAGAGUAUUAUUAAGGAAAGGUUGAAGGUAAGGUGGCAAAAACAAUGGGAUAUGGAGAAGAAAGGUCGAUGGUUUUACAGAAUUCAAAGGAAAGUGGGAGAGAUGAGAAGUGCAGGAAAAAACAGGAGAGAUGAGAUAGUAAUAUCAAGGAUGAGAUUUGGACAUACAAGAUUAAAUGGUACACUUUAUAAAAUGGGUAAACAUGAUACAGGAAGGUGUACAUUUUGUGGGCAAGAAGAAACUGUGGAACAUGUUAUGAUAUACUGUCAGAAAUACGAGUUUGAAAGAAGGAUUUUAAUAGAAAAAUUAAGAAAAAUAAAAAUGCGAUUUAUACUAGGGGAUAUUUUACAAAAUAAAUCUGGAAAUGAAUGUUACAGUUUUAUUUUUCAGUAUCUUAGAAAAAAUAAUUUGUAUGAGAGGAUAUAA